CAAGGAAUUUUCUGCAAUGGGCGCAAGCCUGACAGAGCAACGCCGCGUGGGGGAUGACGCGCUUCGGUGUGUAAACCCCUUUUCCCUGGGACGAAGGCGAUGACGGUACCAGGGGAAGAAGGACCGGCUAACUACGUGCCAGCAGCCGCGGUAAUACGUAGGGUCCGGGCGUUGUUCGGAAUCACUGGGCGUAAAGCGCACGUAGGCGGACUUUCAAGUCAGGGGUGAAAUCCCGGGGCUCAACCUCGGAACUGCCUUUGAUACUGUUGGUCUCGAGUCCGGAAGAGGUGAGUGGAAUUCCUAGUGUAGAGGUGAAAUUCGUAGAUAUUAGGAAGAACACCGGUGGCGAAGGCGGCUCACUGGUCCGGUACUGACGCUGAGGUGCGAAAGCGUGGGGAGCAAACA
RNAcentral lists this ribosomal RNA (405 nucleotides) under uncultured bacterium. RNAcentral describes it as "bacterial SSU rRNA". It matches the Rfam family "Bacterial small subunit ribosomal RNA", at positions 355 to 774 of the family's 1533-position model. The record is from RNAcentral.